This 476-nucleotide ribosomal RNA is filed under the name uncultured bacterium. RNAcentral describes it as "partial 16S ribosomal RNA". It matches the Rfam family "Bacterial small subunit ribosomal RNA", at positions 28 to 523 of the family's 1533-position model. The record is from RNAcentral.
GACGAACGCUGGCGGCGUGCCUAACACAUGCAAGUCGAGCGGAGAAUAUAGCAAUAUAUUCUUAGCGGCGGACGGGUGAGUAACGCGUGGGUAACCUGCCUUUUACAGGGGGAUAACACAGGGAAACUUGUGCUAAUACCGCAUAACAUAGCGAAGUGGCAUCACUUUGUUAUCAAAGGAGUAAUCCGGUAGAAGAUGGACCCGCGGCCAAUUAGCUAGUUGGUGAGGUGAAGGCCCACCAAGGCGACGAUUGGUAGCCGAACUGAGAGGUUGAUCGGCCACAUUGGGACUGAGACACGGCCCAGACUCCUACGGGAGGCAGCAGUGGGGAAUAUUGCGCAAUGGGGGAAACCCUGACGCAGCAACGCCGCGUGAAGGAUGAAGGUUUUCGGAUUGUAAACUUCUUUGAUUGGGGAAGAUAAUGGCGGUACCCAAAAAACAAGCCACGGCUAACUACGUGCCAGCCGCCGCAGUAA